AGUGAACGCUGGCGGUAGGCCUAACACAUGCAAGUCGAACGAGUGGCGGACGGGUGAGGAAUACAUCGGAAUCUACUCUGUCGUGGGGGAUAACGUAGGGAAACUUUCGCUAAUACCGCAUACGAUUGAAUGAGCCGAUUGCGGAUUAGCUAGUUGGCGGGGUAACGGCCCACCAAUGCGACGAUCCGUAGCUGGUCUGAGAGGAUGAUCAGCCACACUGGAACUGAGACACGGUCCAGACUCCUACGGGAGGCAGCAGUGGGGAAUAUUGCACAAUGGGCGCAAGCCUGAUCCAGCCAUGCCGCGUGUGUGAAGAAGGCCUUCGGGUUGUAAAGCCCUUUUGUUGGGAAAGCGUUACCCAAAGAAGAAGCACCGGCUAACUCCGUGCCAGCAGCCGCGGUAAUUC
RNAcentral lists this ribosomal RNA (406 nucleotides) under uncultured bacterium. RNAcentral's name for it is "partial 16S ribosomal RNA". It matches the Rfam family "Bacterial small subunit ribosomal RNA", at positions 29 to 526 of the family's 1533-position model. The record is from RNAcentral.